Molecule: ribosomal RNA, 338 nt
Filed under: uncultured bacterium
Lineage: Bacteria
Description: bacterial SSU rRNA
Rfam family: Bacterial small subunit ribosomal RNA
Source: RNAcentral
GACGAACGCUGGCGGCGUGCUUAACACAUGCAAGUCGAGCGGUAAGGCCCUUUCGGGGGUACACGAGCGGCGAACGGGUGAGUAACACGUGGGUGACCUGCCUUUAGCUCUGGGAUAAGCCUGGGAAACCGGGUCUAAUACCGGAUAUGACUCCGCGGCGCAUGUUGUGGGGUGGAAAGCCUUGUGCGGCUGGAGAUGGGCCCGCGGCCUAUCAGCUUGUUGGUGGGGUGAUGGCCUACCAAGGCGACGACGGGUAGCCGGCCUGAGAGGGCGACCGGCCACACUGGGACUGAGACACGGCCCAGACUCCUACGGGAGGCAGCAGUGGGGAAUCUUGC